This 253-nucleotide ribosomal RNA is filed under the name uncultured bacterium. RNAcentral describes it as "partial 16S ribosomal RNA". It matches the Rfam family "Bacterial small subunit ribosomal RNA", at positions 524 to 776 of the family's 1533-position model. The record is from RNAcentral.
UACGAAGGGGGCUAGCGUUGCUCGGAAUUACUGGGCGUAAAGCGCUCGUAGGCGGCUUUCUAAGUCGGGGGUGAAAUCCUGGAGCUCAACUCCAGAACUGCCUUCGAUACUGGAGAGCUCGAGUCCGGGAGAGGCGAGUGGAACUGCGAGUGUAGAGGUGAAAUUCGUAGAUAUUCGCAAGAACACCAGUGGCGAAGGCGGCUCACUGGCCCGGUACUGACGCUGAGGUGCGAAAGCGUGGGGAGCAAACAGG